UACAGAGGGUGCGAGCGUUAAUCGGAUUUACUGGGCGUAAAGCGCGCGUAGACGGUUUUGUAAGUCAGAUGUGAAAUCCCUGGGCUCAACCUGGGAACUGCAUUUGAAACUGCAUGGCUAGAGUAUGGAAGAGGGAAGUGGAAUUUCCGGUGUAGCGGUGAAAUGCGUAGAUAUCGGAAGGAACACCAGUGGCGAAGGCGGCUUCCUGGGCCAAGACUGACGUUCAUGUGCGAAAGCGUGGGGAGCAAACAGG
Molecule: ribosomal RNA, 253 nt
Filed under: uncultured bacterium
Lineage: Bacteria
Description: partial 16S ribosomal RNA
Rfam family: Bacterial small subunit ribosomal RNA
Source: RNAcentral